UGAAAACACUUUCAGUUAAC
This 20-nucleotide non-coding RNA is filed under the name Arabidopsis thaliana (thale cress). The record is from RNAcentral. Lineage: Eukaryota; Viridiplantae; Streptophyta; Magnoliopsida; Brassicales; Brassicaceae.